GUCGAACGAGAAAGCGGGAGCAAUCUCGCAAGUACAGUGGCGUACGGGUGAGUAACACGUGGAUUAUCUGCCCUUGAGUGGGGAAUAACGCUGGGAAACCGGCGCUAAUACCGCAUAUUUCCGAGAGGGGAAAGCAGCAAUGCGCUGGAAGAGGAGUCCGCGGCUGAUUAGCUAGUUGGCGGGGUAACGGCCCACCAAGGCGAAGAUCGGUAGCCGGCCUGAGAGGGCACACGGCCACACUGGCACUGAAACACGGGCCAGACUCCUACGGGAGGCAGCAGUGGGGAAUCUUGCACAAUGGAGGAAACUCUGAUGCAGCGACGCCGCGUGAGCGAUGAAGCCCUUCGGGGUGUAAAGCUCUUUCGACGGGAACGAUAAUGACGGUACCCGAAGAAGAAGCUGCGGCUAACUACGUGCCAGCAGCCGCGGUAAUACGUAGGCAGCAAGCGUUGUUCGGAAUUACUGGGCGUAAAGAGUGUGUAGGCGGUGUUCUAAGUUUGUCGUGAAAUCUCCCGGCUUAACUGGGAGGGUGCGGCGAAAACUGGAAUGCUAGAGGAUGGGAGAGGUAAGCGGAAUUCCUGGUGUAGCGGUGAAAUGCGUAGAUAUCAGGAGGAACACCUGUGGUGUAGACAGCUUACUGGACCAUUUCUGACGCUGAGACACGAAAGCGUGGGUAGCAAACAGGAUUAGAUACCCUGGUAGUCCACGCCCUAAACGAUGCAUACUUGGUGUGAGCGAUUCAUUUCGUUCGUGCCGGAGCUAACGCGUUAAGUAUGCC
RNAcentral lists this ribosomal RNA (778 nucleotides) under uncultured bacterium. Its description in RNAcentral is "bacterial SSU rRNA". It matches the Rfam family "Bacterial small subunit ribosomal RNA", at positions 61 to 870 of the family's 1533-position model. The record is from RNAcentral.